CCACACCGGAUGGCAGGUCCCUUUAAUCCCCGCUAACCGCCCGGUCGCCUUGCGCCUUCCGACACUCCCGCAUGAACGCGAGCGACUUAAGCGAGGCCUCCAAACGGGAUGACUCUGAGGUGCCCCCCUGUCACUCAAAAACGGUGCCACAAGAAAUUCAUUAAUUCCAUUAAUUAUUUUGAAUAACAAUAAGGUUGGCAAACGAGUGUUGCCCUGUGGCAACAGCUACGUGAACGGGCGCGUAUUCGGGGUGUUCGAUCCUUGCCUCAAACCGGCGAUUGACCUAGGCCCUUCGUCAAACUCCUUUUGGGAAAUCCGCAAAUGGUCGCUCGGAAGAGGAAUCCGAAAGAUACUGAUUUUCCGGCUAACGGAGUGGUCACGCAGAGCCACGCGGCCAAUAUCGACCGAGAUCCUGCCACGGUCCGACAACUUCUUUGGGAUGUGGCCGCUAUCAAUAUCCAUC
RNAcentral lists this unclassified non-coding RNA (463 nucleotides) under Hevea brasiliensis (rubber tree). Lineage: Eukaryota; Viridiplantae; Streptophyta; Magnoliopsida; Malpighiales; Euphorbiaceae. The record is from RNAcentral.